UCGUACCGUGAGUAAUAAAGCAU
RNAcentral lists this microRNA (23 nucleotides) under Ciona intestinalis (vase tunicate). RNAcentral's name for it is "Cin-Mir-126-v1_3p (mature (guide))". The record is from RNAcentral. Lineage: Eukaryota; Metazoa; Chordata; Ascidiacea; Phlebobranchia; Cionidae.